Non-coding RNA from Castor canadensis (American beaver), 770 nucleotides. The record is from RefSeq and is a predicted model, not a curated record. Lineage: Eukaryota; Metazoa; Chordata; Mammalia; Rodentia; Castoridae.
ACCCUCACUCUUAGGAUGCCACGUGGAGGCCGAAGCCGCACCUCCCGCAUGGCCCCUCUGGCCAGCCGGGCCCCUCAUAUGAGAGCUCCACCCAGGCCAGCACCUGCAGCUCAGCCACCAGCAGUGGCCCCAACUUCUGCAGUUGGAGCACCUGUGGCUGCGCCCUGGCGGCCUGGGCUGAUGGCCCAGAUGGCAACCACUGCAGCUGGCAUGGCUGUGGACUCUGCUGUUGGGCAUGCAUUGGGUCAUGCCGUCACUGGGGGCUUCAGUGGAGGUGGAAACGCUGAGCCCUCCAGGCCUGACAUCACUUACCAGGAGCCCCUGGGAACCCAGCCGGUGCAGCAGCAGGAGCAGCAGCCUUGCUUUUAUGAGAUAAAACAGUUUUUAGAGUGUGCCCAGAACCAGGGUGACUUUAAGCUCCGUGAAGGCUUCAAUGAGGUGCUGAAACAGUGCAGAAUUGCAAAUGGGUUAGUGUAACCAAGAAGCUCAAGUGGAAUUGAAGAUUGCCUCUGAUGACCAAGUUCAUUUAACAUCAAAAUACAAUAGUGAAACGUAGAGUGUAAAAUCACAAUAAACCUCUUCUUAAUAACCUCAUGGCUUCAGAGUGGCCACAGAAGAGGGUGUUGUACCUGUAUAGUUUCCACUGACAUGAUAUAGAGUUUGGGACUGGCAAGUGUUUGUGUGGCUUCCUUAAACAGACUGUUUUGAUGUUAUUUUGAGUUAAUUAGAAUAAAGUGAUUUUCUUCCAUGGAAAAAUAAAUAAAUAAAAA